This 480-nucleotide ribosomal RNA is filed under the name Triticum aestivum (bread wheat). RNAcentral describes it as "partial small subunit ribosomal RNA". Lineage: Eukaryota; Viridiplantae; Streptophyta; Magnoliopsida; Poales; Poaceae. The record is from RNAcentral.
AUGGCUAAGCAAGCUGGGAAUUCUGUGGGUGGUGUUCUUCCCCAUCCCCAUGUGAUUGGAAAUGCAUUUGCCCAACACUACUACAAAAUUCUGAAUGAGUCACCAGAGGAUGUCCAUAAGUUCUAUCAUGAUGACAGUAUUCUUGGUCGGAAGCCAAAUUCUGAUGGUAAAUUGACAUCUAUAACCACAAUGCGUGAUAUCAAAAAACACUUUGUAUCUACAUACCUCAAGGGAUGUUCGAUGCAGAUAGACAAUGUAGAUUCUCAGCCAUCCCACGAGGGCGGUGUGCUCGUUUUAGUUAGUGGGUCUUUUACUGUCCCUGAUGCCAUGAAUCGUAGAUUUACUCAGUCGUUCUUCCUUGCUCCACAAAAAGGAGGCUAUUUUGUUCUGAAUGAUGUGCUUAGAUACAUUCCAGUUGAGCCAGAAACACCACCUGUCAAGGUUCCAGAGCCUCCGUUGAUAGAUUAUUUCUGGGUAUGA